Callithrix jacchus (white-tufted-ear marmoset) is the source of this 1141-nucleotide non-coding RNA. The record is from RefSeq and is a predicted model, not a curated record. NCBI's taxonomy places the organism in Eukaryota, Metazoa, Chordata, Mammalia, Primates, Cebidae.
GCUACAGCAGGCAAAUCAGGAGAUGCAAAGAGCCAAGUUUCAUCUUUUAAAGCAACUUUUAAACAUCCCUGCCCUCACCCCGCUUCCUCCUGGACGUUGACCUGGAGGGUGCAGGAGGUAGGCCUUUGGGAGAGGCGAGGACUGCCACAGUCAAAGCGCCUAACCUCGCCCACGUCCUGGGCUGGGGGAUCACUCAAACUUUCCGUGCCUGGAAGGGCAGCCUGGACGCGGGGGAGGCGCCGGCGCGCGGAGUCCCGGCGGGCGCCCGCACACCCCGGGCAGCGCCGCGUCCGUUGGGGCCGUUGAGAGGGCGGCCACCGCCCCUCAUGGGCAGUCAGGGCUCGGGGCUGUCCGCAAGGUCCGGGUUCCAGCCCACCCCCGCCCCGCGCGUCGAAGCAGAGCCGGUUCCUGUGAAUUGGCCCCUACCUGCUGUUCCAGACUCAUUCCUCACUACUUCCUCCCAGGAACUCGUUUCUGCACCAGCGAAACCAGGACAUCUCCUGAGCUCACAAGGACCUCUGCUUUGAUCUUUGCUCUUCCCCCACCUCACCGAGGCAUGAUUCAAAUUCAGGAUAAUCUGACUCCAGAGCUUGCAAGCUUUCCAACAGCAGGAGGAGUCGGAGGAAGACAGGGCCACUAAAAAUGGUGCCAGGGAGCCUAUGCCAAGGGCCAAACGAGCGGCCACAUCAAAUUGCCAUCUGAAUCGGGGAGUGAAGAUGGGAAUGGAGGAAAUGACCAAGCUCUAGUGUACUGGAGUGGCUUCACGGAAGAAAUGGCUAUUUCUUGAAUGAAUCUUGGAGCAGAAAUGGCCAUGCUGUCACGCAACAGGACAAACAGCUUUUGCAUCAAUACUAGGCAAAAUCUCACAAAAGCCACAUACAUGGAAGUGGGAACAUGAAAAGUACUUCUCCAAUUCAAAUGUUGGAGAUUCACAAAUUCAUGGCCAAAAAGGUGAUUUUUGGUAUCAAAGGUCAGCUAAUAAGUAAAGCCUGUCCUUUUUUUUUAAGCUAGAAAAGUCUGAUUUUGGAUCCGUGAAUCCAUAUCCUUGAAUCUGAACAUUUACCCCACUGGAUUUGGGGUGCCUAGCCUGACUUCUGUCACAAGUUGUCAAUGAUUUAAUAAUAAUAAGUUAUUAAAAAUA